GGAGGAAAGCAGGGGAUCGAAAGACCUCGCGUUAUUGGAGCGGCCGAUGCCGGAUUAGCUAGUUGGUGAGGUAAAGGCUCACCAAGGCGACGAUCCGUAGCUGGUCUGAGAGGACGACCAGCCACACUGGGACUGAGACACGGCCCAGACUCCUACGGGAGGCAGCAGUGGGGAAUUUUGGACAAUGGGGGCAACCCUGAUCCAGCCAUGCCGCGUGAAUGAAGAAGGCCUUCGGGUUGUAAAGCUCUUUCGCAAGGAAAGAAAACUUACCUACUAAUACUAGGUGAGGAUGACGGUACCUUGAUAAGAAGCACCGGCUAACUACGUGCCAGCAGCCGCGGUAAUACGUAGGGUGCGAGCGUUAAUCGGAAUUACUGGGCGUAAAGCGUGCGCAGGCGGUUUCGUAAGCCAGAUGUGAAAUCCCCGGGCUCAACCUGGGAACUGCGUUUGAAACUACAGGGCUAG
This 465-nucleotide ribosomal RNA is filed under the name uncultured ammonia-oxidizing beta proteobacterium. RNAcentral's name for it is "bacterial SSU rRNA". It matches the Rfam family "Bacterial small subunit ribosomal RNA", at positions 198 to 644 of the family's 1533-position model. Lineage: Bacteria; Pseudomonadati; Pseudomonadota; Betaproteobacteria. The record is from RNAcentral.